UAUAUUAAAAAUACAUGUUAUUGUUGAUAUAUUUUUGAAUAGAUUGAUCCUGGUUUCUUUCAAAUAGAUUGAUCCUGGUUUCUUUCAAUGCCUUUCAAAUGAAAAAUCCAGAGACUAAUUUUUUUAAUGCUAAAUCUUUAGGUUUUCCAAUUGCUUGUAAAUUAAUAGCAAGUAUUCACUAACCUUUCCUUAUUUGUCCAUAAUUUUGUAGCAUUUCACAAUUUUUUUUUAAACGGCAUUAAUGGAAAUGUAGUCAAUAAAAAUAUCAGCAUUUAAACCUUUCAAAUGAAAUGAAGAAAAUUUGGUGUCUGUUUCAUAUCAUAUUAUAAACUAUUGUUACAAAAUAAUCUAGGAUAAUUUUAUACUUGGUACUAGUAUAUAUUUUUUACACAAGAUGUUUAACCCUUUUUUAUACAAGACAUUUCUUUUUGUAAGAAUGAGACAGUUGGGAGUUAAAGUAAAGUCAGAGAAUGUUGUAACAGUAUAUGUUCUUUGACAAACUCAAUGCACUUUGAUAUGUUUUGAUCUGAGAUAACAACAUUUCAUUAAAUUUUAAACCUCUAUGUGACAAUGCAAAGAGAAGAAAAAUGUCAUCAUAAAAAGUAAAUGAGAAAAAGAUUGUCAUAUCCAACACUCUAUUGGUGACGGUCAAUAGUUAACAAUUAUAUAUUUCCAAGAAGCAAUCAACUGUUGCAGGAUUUUAUGUCUAUUUUUUACUGAUAAUGAUUCCAUAGGAGAUAAUUUUAUAUAUUUUUUCUAGUCCAGUGCCUUUAGAUGCCAUAUAAAUAUAAAUUAAUACCGGUUAUAAAAUGUGAGUUACUGAUAAAAGCCUGAACUGAAAAUGUGAUUCUUUUAUAAUGAUAUGAAGUCCUUCACUGAAAAUGGUAUUCACUAAAAAAUACCCUGAAAAUGAUAAGAUUCACUAAAAAAAGCCAUGACUUAAAAUGUAAUUUGUUAUUACUAAACCCCUAAAAAGAAAACAGAAAUAGAUCCAUUUAUGUCUUCAAUAUGUGAUAUUUUUCACUAUUUAUAACUCAUGUAGUUGAUCAAUGCAAGAAUAAGCAAGAAGCUUGCUUCAGUAUUUACUAACAUAUUAGCAAUGACUCAUGUAUUACAGAAGGGUAACUUAAAAGUUUUAUACUUCAUUAAACCAUUUCUUGUUUGUUAUUAUUAGUUUUUUGUUUCUUUUACAAUUAGAAUACUAUAAAAUUAAUUGUUUUGUUACUAUAUUUUUUAUGUUGCACAUGUACAAUAGAAGUUUGACGUCACUACAAAUAACCCAUUAUGUAUGUGUAAUAUUGUAUGACCAUGUUUACGUCACUACAAAUAACCCAUUAUGUAUGUGUAAUAUUGUAUGACCAUGGAAAUAGUCACUACAAAUAACCCAUUAUGUAUUUGUAAUAUUGUAUGACCAUGGAAAUAGCUAGCUAUCACUUUUAUGUGUACUUGGUAUUUUAUUUUUAAGCACUUAUUUUGUAUAGCUUCGAUAAAAAUCCAACUUCAUUCCCACUUAGUUGAUUUUUACCGUGCACAAUUAUAUUUUUACCUUCCUUAUAAAAUUAUUUAUUGCCACAAAAUCGCAAAUGAAUUUGGAUUUUGAUAAUUAUAUAUAUAAUACACACAUAGCUGGACAGAUGUAUAAAUUAGAGUUUUCAUGACAACUCUUAGAGACCAGCUGACACCACAACUUCAUUUGUUAAGCUUAAUAAAGUCAUAAACACUCAACAUUAUACUAUUCUAAAAGGGAGACUGAUCUUGUAAAUUACAGAACAUUUGUAAGAAGGACUACAAUAUUUCCAUGGUACAAGAUUUAAAGUAUAUUACAGGAUUAGUAAUUAACCUGUUUGGUUUUCAAGAAAAUGUACUUUUCAUUGUCUGUGAAGAGGUAAUUAUUGUUAUAUUUUUUAUGAAAAUAAUUUUUUUAUCUGCAGGGAUAAAUACAGCAUUUUAUUAACAUUAUAUAUAAUAUUAGAUUGGAAUAAAAUCAAACACAAAAGGAUAUUCAAGUCCAGCUUUAUUUAGUAAUGAAGAUAAAAAAUUUUGGUUAGAAACAAAAUUCUAAGUUUGUACAACCAAAUAUUAUUUUAGAAAUAUCAUAGCUAUAAAGGUAGAAAAAUUGAAAAGUUUCAAUUAAAAUAUUUUAUUAUUUAUCUGUCAACCAAUUAAUUGUUAUUAAUGUAAAUUGACAAACAUUACUAUUAGGUUACAAUUGAUUAAGUUUUAUCAACCAAUUGAGGCAAUUGUUAGCAUUGCAUUGUGCACAUCCAGAUUUUUUACUAUUUUUGCAAUAAAAUUAAAUAAAACUAA
RNAcentral lists this long non-coding RNA (2307 nucleotides) under Mytilus galloprovincialis (Mediterranean mussel). The record is from RNAcentral. Lineage: Eukaryota; Metazoa; Mollusca; Bivalvia; Mytilida; Mytilidae.